This 29-nucleotide non-coding RNA is filed under the name Mus musculus (house mouse). Lineage: Eukaryota; Metazoa; Chordata; Mammalia; Rodentia; Muridae. The record is from RNAcentral.
UGAAUAUGAUGUUUCAGGAGGCGAUAAAG